This 467-nucleotide ribosomal RNA is filed under the name uncultured bacterium. RNAcentral describes it as "partial 16S ribosomal RNA". It matches the Rfam family "Bacterial small subunit ribosomal RNA", at positions 28 to 506 of the family's 1533-position model. The record is from RNAcentral.
GACGAACGCUGGCGGCGUGCUUAACACAUGCAAGUCGAACGGUGAAGCUCCAGCUUGCUGGAGUGGAUCAGUGGCGAACGGGUGAGUAACACGUGAGCAACCUGCCCCUGACUCUGGAAUAAGCGCUGGAAACGGCGUCUAAUACUGGAUACGAGAAGGGUCCGCAUGGGCACUUUCUGGAAAGUUUUUCGGUUGGGGAUGGGCUCGCGGCCUAUCAGCUUGUUGGUGAGGUAAUGGCUCACCAAGGAGACGACGGGUAGCCGGCCUGCGAGGGCGACCGGCCACACUGGGACUGAGACACGGCCCAGACUCCUACGUGAGGCAGCAGUGGGGAAUAUUGCACAAUGGGCGAGAGCCUGAUGCAGCGACGCCGCGUGAGGGAUGACGGCCUUCGGGUUGUAAACCUCUUUCAGCAGGGAAGAAGCGAAAGUGACGGUACCUGAAGAAGAAGCACCGGCUAACUACGU